This 439-nucleotide ribosomal RNA is filed under the name uncultured bacterium. Its description in RNAcentral is "bacterial SSU rRNA". It matches the Rfam family "Bacterial small subunit ribosomal RNA", at positions 958 to 1397 of the family's 1533-position model. The record is from RNAcentral.
AACGCGAAGAACCUUACCUGGGCUCGAAGCGCAGUGGACCGGGGUAGAAAUAUCCCUUCCUCGCAAGAGGCUGCUGCGGAGGUGCUGCAUGGCUGUCGUCAGCUCGUGUCGUGAGAUGUUGGGUUAAGUCCCGCAACGAGCGCAACCCUUAUCCCUAGUUGCCAUCGGGUCAAGCCGGGCACUCUAGUGAAACCGCCCAGGAUAACUGGGAGGAAGGUGGGGAUGACGUCAAGUCCUCAUGGCCUUUAUGUCCAGGGCUACACACGUGCUACAAUGGACGGUACAAAGGGCUGCCAACCCGCGAGGGGGAGCCAAUCCCAAAAAACCGUUCUCAGUUCGGAUUGCAGGCUGCAACUCGCCUGCAUGAAGCUGGAAUCGCUAGUAAUGGUGGAUCAGAACGCACCGUGAAUACGUUCCCGGGCUUGUACACACCGGCUAC